Molecule: ribosomal RNA, 473 nt
Filed under: Eurema aff. laeta A SSG-2014
Lineage: Eukaryota; Metazoa; Arthropoda; Insecta; Lepidoptera; Pieridae
Description: partial 16S ribosomal RNA
Source: RNAcentral
GUAAAUAAUAAAAAGUCUAAUCUGCCCACUGAAUUUAUUUAAAGGGCUGCAGUAUAUUGACUGUACAAAGGUAGCAUAAUCAAUAGUCUUUUAAUUGAAGACUUGUAUGAAUGAUUUGAUGAAAUAUAAACUGUCUCUUUAUUAAAAAUAAAAUUUAAUUUUUUAGUUAAAAAGCUAAAAUAAUUAUAAAAGACGAGAAGACCCUAUAGAGUUUUAUAUUUAUUUUAUUUAGAAAUUAUUUAUAUAAUUUAAAUAUAUAAUAAUUUAAAUAUUUUAUUGGGGUGAUAGAAAAAUUAAAUAAACUUUUUUUAAAUUUUAACAUUAAUUUAUGAAAUUAUGAUCCAUAAUUUAUGAUUAAAAGAAAAAAUUACCUUAGGGAUAACAGCGUAAUUUUUUUUUUUAGUUCAAAUAAAAAAAAGAGUUUGCGACCUCGAUGUUGGAUUAAGAUAAAAUUUAAAUGCAAAAGUUAAAAU